This 253-nucleotide ribosomal RNA is filed under the name uncultured bacterium. RNAcentral's name for it is "partial 16S ribosomal RNA". It matches the Rfam family "Bacterial small subunit ribosomal RNA", at positions 524 to 776 of the family's 1533-position model. The record is from RNAcentral.
UACGAAGGGGGCUAGCGUUGCUCGGAAUCACUGGGCGUAAAGCGCACGUAGGCGGCUUCUUAAGUCAGGGGUGAAAUCCUGGAGCUCAACUCCAGAACUGCCUUUGAUACUGAGGAGCUUGAGUCCGGGAGAGGUGAGUGGAACUGCGAGUGUAGAGGUGAAAUUCGUAGAUAUUCGCAAGAACACCAGUGGCGAAGGCGGCUCACUGGACUGGUAUUGACGCUGAGGUGCGAAAGCGUGGGGAGCAAACAGG